GUACUUACCCCGCAGGGGAUAUACCAUGAUCAUGAAGGUGCUUCUCCCAUGGUGAAGCUCAUCCAUUAGACUUUGGAUAUGCUGAACUCUGCAAUUUCCAUAAAUGUGGGAAACUCGACUGCAUAAUUUGUGUUAGUAGAGUACUACAUUAGUGCUUUUCCCUU
This is a small nuclear RNA of Sceloporus undulatus (fence lizard), 164 nucleotides long. RefSeq annotates it as U1 spliceosomal RNA. The transcript has a single exon. The record is from RefSeq and is a predicted model, not a curated record. Lineage: Eukaryota; Metazoa; Chordata; Lepidosauria; Squamata; Phrynosomatidae.